CCUAUUGUUAACUCCAUCGCUUAUAUGAAUUUUGUUAAUCAUGAUUGAUAUAUAAAGACAUGUCUAAAUUUUUAGCAUUCGAGAAAAAAAAGAAUAAAAUAAAAUGGAUAGAGCACAUUAAAAUAUCAAACACUAUCAUAUAGUGUUACUUUUCAUUCCAAAUGGUGUAUACAUCAUUUCAUUACCAACUCUUUCCUUGAUUACAACCCAUAACACAAUGCUUACAAGUCUUAAAGAACUUGUUGAUAACAAGCUAUAGAAAUAUUUGUGUCAUUACCAAUUUAUUUAGCUUAGGCAGCAAUUUUCUCAAAGCAAUCAUUACCAACCCCAUGUAUCCUUAAAUUUUAGUGGUCUUCUUAUAGGAUGUGGACGAGGAAAAGGAUGAGGACGAGGACGAUUUAGAUGGAGAAUGAGGAGGUGCUUGGAAUUUAGGGAUAUUGUACCCUUUAGGUGGGAGGGGUUUCUUAUAGGACGAGGGCGAGGACGGUUUAGAUGGAGAAAGGGGAGGUGCUUGGGAUUUAGGGACAUUGUAUCCCUUAGGUGGGAGGGUUUUCCUAUAAGACAAGGGUGAGGAUGAGGAUGAGAACGAGGACGAAAAUGAGGACGAUUUAGAUGCUUGGAAUUUAGGGAUAAAGAAUGUUGCGUUAGAUGGGAGGGUUGUAAGGAAUAGAGAAAUGGCAAGGGCUAGAAAAAUUUUGUUAUAAAAUGCCAUUGUCUUUCGUUUUAAUUUAAUAAUAGAAAGAAAGUUAAAAAGAAAGACAAUGGAAACAAGGAAUGAUGUGAAAUAUGGAGAUUCAUUGGGGUGUAUUUAUAUCCAAAAUGAGUUAUAGAUUUAUUGGCUAUGCUUAAAUAUAGAUUCUCAAGUGAAUAUUUAACCUUCAUUUGACAAUGUUUUGUUCAUUCAUUAAAGAAUGGUAGAUUUUCUUAGCCCCACAAACUCAGCCAUUCACACGAUAUUGAAUUAAAUUAAUUAAUGAUAUUCGUUAUUUUUUCAGUUUCAAAAUAAUUGACAUAUUAUUAAAAAUAUUUGUUUUAAAAUAGUUGGGAUAGUGCUAAAUGGCCACAAAAAUUUGGUCACAAUAAUAAAAAGACUAUACUUGGUCACAAUAAUAAAAAAACUAUUUUCGUGGUUUGACCACGGUCGCUUGGUGGAGCGUAUCGGCUAAUUUGACAUUAUGAAUAUAUAAACCACACAAAAUCACACAAAACAAUCAAUCAAACAAACAAACAAACAAAACAAAUCCAAAAUUAUAAUGUCCAGUCCGAUUAUUACAAUCCCGAAAUAGAAAAAUGCAAAAAUAUAAACCUACUCUAUUCUAUGCUAAUUCUAAACUACACUCCAUUACUUUCUCCACCCGACGUUUCGGGCCUUGAUCAUGCGUCAUCUUCAAGUACAUAGUACUUCGGGGCAUUCCCCGGAUAAAUCAAUACAAAUCUCUCGGGGGCAUUCCCCGGUCAAAUAAAUACAAUAGAUGUCAAUGCAUAAAUCAAAACCAUUCCACAAACAUUUCAUUAUUCAACAAUCACAAAUCCUAAACUUUUCCUACCCAACUUAUUGCUUGCCUAACUAUCCACGACCUAAAACAUGAUACUAUCAAACUUAACAAAGUCGACGUUCAUUCCAAAUCAGGCAAUCAUCGCUGAACCAACACAAAUCAACGUUCACUUUUAACAAUUUUCGAUCUUUUUCCUCAAAAUUCAACUUAACCCCAAAUCAACUACGUGAUUAAGAUACUUCACACCAGGAUUAACAAUCAGAUAACGACGAGUAAAAUCACUUCAACCAAAUUCAACCAAAAAUCACACCAUUCAAAAAUAUUCAUGAAAAAGAGAGAUAAGAGAUAUAGAAUUGGACCUGGAUUCAAAGGUUUCAAAAUUAUGACAGAAUCCGCGUCGAAGAAACUCGAUUCGAAACCUCCAUUCGAACCCCAACACCAGACCCACUCCAAACUUAGUGCUACCAAAAUUAAAACCCCGAACUGACCACGAUAACCCAAAAAGCUCACUAAAAUCCAACGAAAAAUCAAACACCCGCAGGGUUUGAACUCCGAUGAUUCGCCGAUGAUGCGGACGACCAGAACAACCAGUCGUCGGACGGAUUUCGUCCGGAAUUGAAGAACAACGGAGGGAGGUUUGACCGUUUUAUACGAACGACGAACAGAAGGGAUGAUUUCGGCGAAGCUACUGCCGGAUUAGUAACCCGAAAUCAACCCCUCUUCCUUCUUCAUUACGGAUCUCGACCUCUCUCACUCUAUUUCCCUCCCAUUCUCGAAUCUCUCUCUCUGUUUCUGUGUGUGAGUGUGUGUGGAAUUGUUUGGUGCUUAAUUAUUUCGGUGAGGGUCCUCUCUAAAUUAGUUACUGUGUGUGUAUCUUUGAAUUUCCAGUGAGUUUCUGAGUUUCCCUGAUUUUUGUGAGUGUGUAUGUACAUAUGCUGUGGGUAUAUGAGGAUACACAAAUGGAGAAAUCCGAUGGUGUCUUUUAAAAGGAAAAAAAUGUGAUAGAGGAGGUGUUGAUGGCGUUCUCAGUGAGGAAGAAAAGAGGGGGGGGGGGGGAAAUAAAGUCUGUGUAUGUCGUGAGUGUCCCCCGUCCUAUGCGUGCACUGUGUUUGUAUAUAUAUUCUCAUCCUUUCGUGUCAAGAAGAAAUGUGAUAUGUAUAUAUGGUCCUCUUUUAAAAAUGGAGAAAAUGGUCCUUUUUUGUCCCUUUCAUGGAAGUUUCCUAGUGGGGCCUUUUUUUAAUGUUUAUCCCUUUUUGCCUUUGUGGACAAGAAAUAUGAGGGAGAGAGGGUCACGUGGGUAUGGGGUGUUGGUGGUAGGGGUAUGGGGAAUGUGUCUUAUUUUAAUUGAAAGGGUUGUUAGGAUGUUAAAAAGAAUAAAAGUUUGUUAGGGAUUUUGUUGAGAGUUAUUUUUUUGUAUUUUUAUGGGAUGUAAUUACAUGGGCAGGAUAAGGUAAAAAUGGGUAAAACGAUAUCGGGGAGGGAAGAAAUUACGUGUCCACAUCAUGCCCCCUUUGAAUGUAAACACGCAACGAGACCGAAUUUUGUCUCAAUCAUUAUUCAAAGGAAGGAGUAAAAGAAAGAAGGACAAUCGAAUCCUGUCGGACACCCUAUCUACCCAAGUCAUGAGGAAGUCACAAGUAUCUCAAAGGGUUGGAAGAGAAGUGGACUAUACCGAGUUGGAGAGUCGAGUGAGGUUCCAUCGAGGUUCCGGUCCGCGGCUCUGUCAUUACAUCAAAAANNNNNNNNNNNNNNNNNNNNNNNNNNNNNNNNNNNNNNNNNNNNNNNNNNNNNNNNNNNNNNNNNNNNNNNNNNNNNNNNNNNNNNNNNNNNNNNNNNNNNNNNNNNNNNNNNNNNNNNNNNNNNNNNNNNNUGUUCUUCAGGCGGGCUCCUGACUUGCUAUUUCAUCACCCUGUUCUUCAGGCGGGCCCCUGAAACCCAAAAUUAAAACUAGAACGAAAAUUAUCCCAAACAAAAAUUAUAGUAAAGUAGUAUUUCAUUUUUGAAAGCGUUAUCCCAUUUUUCAGGAGGGUCCUGAACAUAAAGUAAAAUCCUAUUCUUUCAGGAGGGUCCUGAACAGAAAGUAAAAUCCCAUUUUUCAGAAGGGUCCUGAACAGAAGGUAAAGUUCCAUUUUUCAAGAGGGUCCUGAACUGAAAGUAAAUUCCCAUUCUUCAGGAGGGUCCUGAGCAUAAAAUAGAAUCCCAUUUUUCAGGAGGGUCAUGAACAUAAGGUAAAAUCCCAUUUUUCAGGAGGGUCCUGAACAUAAAGUAACAUCCCAUUUUCCAGGAGGGUCUUGAACAUAAAGUGAAAUCCCAUUUUUCAGGAGGGUCCUGAACAGAAGGUAAAAUCUCAUUUUUCAGGAGGGUCCUGAACAAAAGUGAAGUCCCAUUUUUCAGGAGGGUCCUGAAAUCACAUCAAAACUAAAAAGAAAAUUAUCCCAAACAAAUAUUAUUAUAAAGAGGUUUUAUUUGCCAGAAAAGUAAAGUUUCAAAAAUAGAAAUUGAAUUUUUGUCCCAGUUUAUCAUCAGAAGACUUUUGGAAAAGUCACACAAUACCUACUUGCAUGUUACAAUGAUGAAUCAAGACUCUGACUAUGAAAUGCAUCUCUUAAGAGUAAAAUUAAAUAACUAAGACUAGGAAGUGCAUCUCCUAAUAAUUAAAGCGAGGGAUUGUAACUAGAAAGUGCAUCUUCUAGAGAUACAAGUUUAAGUUAAAAGUGUGUCACUUGACAAAUGAAAACUAGCAAGGAAGUGCGUCUCCUGAGGAUUAAGUGCAAUAACUCGACUAGAAAGUGCGUUUUUCUAGAAAUCAAGACUCAAGUUAGGAAGUGCAUCACCUAAAAAUCAAAAUUCGAAAUACCCAAUCAAGAAAGUGCAUCUCCUUACCAAUGUUGCUUGAAUUAUCAAAACAAGGAAGUGCAUCUCCUUACCAAUGCCACUUGAAUUACUCAAACAAGGAAGUGCGUCUCCUCACAAAUGCUUCUUGAAUUAACCAAACAAGGAAGUGCAUCUCCUUAGAAAUGUUUUCGUGAAUUAACCAAACAAGAAAGUGUUUCUCCUUACAAAUGUUGCUCGAAUUGCCAUAACAAGGAAGUGCGUCUCCUUACAAAUGUUGCUUGAAUUAACCAAACAAGGAAGUGCAUCUCCUUACCAACACUGCUUGAAUUACCAAAAUAAGGAAGUGCGUCUCCUAACAAAUUUUGCUUGAAUUAAUCAAUCAAGGAAGUGCGUCUCCUUGCAAAUAUCGAUCGAAUUACCAAAUAAGGAAGUGCGUCUCCUAAAAAAUGUCUCUUGAAUUACUCAAACAAGGUAGUGCGUUUCCUCACAAAUGUUUCUUGAAUUAACCAAAUAAAGGAAGUGCAUCUCCUAACAAUAUUGCUUGAAUUGUCCAAACAAGGAAGUGCUUCUCCAUACAUCGCUUGGAUUACAAAAAAAAGGAAGUGCGUCUCCUAAUAAAUGUCUCUUGAAUUGCUCUAACAAGAAAGUGCAUCUCCUUACGAAUGUUGUUUGAAUUACCCAACCAAGGAAGUGCAUCUCCUUACAAGAAAUCCUGUCUCCUCGAAAUCUUGAAUUAUGAGUUUUACCAUGGCUUUGAAUACCAAAUAUGUGCAGAAAUAUUGUCUCCUUCAUUUGUGUAAGUGCGGUAUUGCAACUUUCGAUAUUUAGGCUUUGAAAUCCUUGAUUCGAAGGUAACAUUUGUUCCUGUUUCAUAUAAAGAAAAUUUGUUAGUUUAAAAAUAAGGUGGCUGGUUUGCGGCUUUGGCUUUCGUGGAAAUCGCUCUUGCCCCAGUCGCAUUUAAUCUUGCUUUUAACCAUUAGCAUGUGUCACUGGCUUGCUGUAUCAUUGACCUGAACUCAGAUUAUUAAGAGAGACUCUGAAACAAAUACAGUAUCCUUGAUUUGUCAUGCUUCUCAGAUAAACCCUUUGAACAUUGGUAUUUCCAUGAAUUCCCAGACUUGUCGGAUGACAAAAUUGUCUGCAUGCCUUGUUUUGGCUCACAAUCAUGUCUCUUUCAUGUGCUGGCCUUUUGUUUUGCUUUCUGCAAUUGAAGAAGCUGGUAGCCAGUUUUGAAAUCUUUUCUCACUUGUUUCGACAUAGACUUGAAUCAACAACAAGAGAAAAAUGACAAUGACUUUUAUUUGGAUAACUGACUCAAGAAAGAUAAACAAAAUAAAGAGAAGAAAGAAAAGAUAAUGAAUGUCCCAACUGAAACAAAGAAAUAAAAAUUUAUCUAAAAAUGACAAUCAACUCCAAAGAUUAUGCCAUGCAUUUUGGGUCAGGCUGCCUUAUCUUUCCAUCCAAAUUUUCUACCAAUUGUUGUUGAGUUAAUGGCCUUGAAACUGAGUUGUUUCCUUAGGUCAAUUGCAUUUAAGACCUCGUUCGGCUAGUGGCGCCUUGGAGGGUUUUUUUUCAACAAGCCUUUCUCAUUUUUUCUAGCUCACCAUUGCCUUAUGGUGUUCAUGAGGGUUUUUCACCAAUGAGACUCUCUUAUUUUCAUUUGUUCAACUCACUAUUGUCUUACCAUGCCCGUAAGAGUUUUCACCGAUAAGACUCUCUCAUUGUUAUCUCCCUCAUCUUACCAUCGUCUUACGAUGUCCGUGAGGGUUUUCACCUAUAAGACUUCUCAUUUUCAUUUCUCUCCUGAUUCCUUAUGCUAAGGAAUACAAGUAGUUCCCAAAAUGCAUCAUCACAUCCAUUGCAUGCUUAGCCUUAACAUUCUCAAAGAUUGAUCUGAAGGUCUUUCUUUGAUUGUAACUUGGCUUUUGGAUAGGGUUAGAAAGAAAGGAUGACAUGAUGCCCAAACGACACUUGAAGUGGCUUAGGACUUACAACUUUUGGAAUCGACUCAAACAAAUGAGGAUUAACUCAUGCCCCAGUUUCUUUUGACUGGAUGAUUCUAAAUUAUUUAUUUGGUUAGACUGAGCCCUUAGUAGGGCAGCCUACGUAUCUCACCCCCGAGAGAGGAGAAUCAGGUCAUGCGUAGUUCUGGAAGCUUAUUCUUUCACUUGAUUCUAAUUUUUUUUCUUUUGUUGACUCUUUUCUCUUUGGAUUUUUCAAAUUCUAUUUGUCUUGACACUUUUUUCUUUUUAGACAUAUUUUUUUUUCUUCUCUUUUUUUUUUUGAACUUUUUCUGAAUCUAUUAUUUUGCUCGACACUUUUCUUUUGAGCUUUGCUGACUAUAUUGAUUCCAAAAGAGGGGUAUGAAAUAAAAUAGGACUAAAGCUCAAAUGGGGUAAACAAAGGAUGACACGAUGUUUGGAUAGCAGAAUGAAAUGUCUUCGUCAUAUCAAUCCUUGAAAAUGCAAGUACAUAUCAUGUAAUAUGAAAGUGAGAGAUGAAGAUCAUUUGCGACAUCUUUUUAAGCAGAUUAAGUUUGUGCGUCAUUACUCUUGCACUUUGUUCAACAUAUCACUCCACUUUUGUUGUACAAUCCUCACAUCGAAUGACUUAUGCUUUCGUGGAGUUGAUUUUUCUGUCCCUCGGUAUCACACACCCGCUAUUUGAUCUAAUUGAGCCAUGUUUUUCAAUUGAUGAUCAAGUUAUUCUUGUGAUUCUCAAAAUAAUUGCCUUAACUUGUCACCAAAUGUCUUAACACUCUAUCUAUUUUCUCAUAUGCUCUCUUUUUCUAACUUUAACCCUUUUAUUCAAUGUUCAUGCUUAAACUGGAUUUUAAUAUCUGGCUGAAAAUUUCACUAGCAUGUCAUAUCACUAGAGUCAACACAAAAUGUACUAUGUAAAGAAAACAAACAAACAACACAUAUUUAAAACACAAAGGAAAAUGAGACACUUCAUUCAGUCGAAACAAAAGAUAGAAGAGCUUGAACAUAAGCAACCAAAGACAAAACAAGACAGAUCCUGAACUACAACCCUGAAAUAAUUCGGAGAACAGAAAAUAAAACAAAACAAGCUUCCAAACCUCUUUCUAGUAGGGAGAGGGGUGGAUUCUCAAUUGCUCGGCCUGACAUCUUAGCCACUAGUUUGUAUAUCAGCAUGACUAGAGUUUUCCUCACCGUCAAUGUUCGGCACCAUAAUCAAUUUGUCUUGAAUCAUCUUUUUAAUUUCUCUUUUUAAAGCACGACAAUCUUUAAUACUGUGACCCUGAACAUCAGAAUGAUAUGCACAUCUUACAUUAGGAUCAAAACUUCUUGAAUUCGGGUCAAGAGUAUACCCAAGGAGAGGAGUGAUCAUGCCUCGCAGUGCCAAUCUUUGAAAUAAACUGACAUACAACUCUCUAAUUAGUGUGAAACUAUCCCUCAAUUUUUGCCUUAUUUCAUUAUUUAACUUGGAUCGAACAUCGGGCCUAGAAGGGCUUUGGUAUGUUUGUGGAAUUGGAGGAUGACUUUGAAGAUUUGGUGCGCGCCAUUGUGGGUAAGGAAGGAGUUGAACAUAUGGUUGUGCGCAAUAUACUAGAUAUAGAGGUCGGGAAAUAGAGUAUAUUGGAUUUUGAGAGUGAUUGUGGAGAGCUUGGGUAUGAACUUGGGCUUGAGACUGACGGCAACGACGACGUCGUCUUCUUGGAUGUGCCCGUUCUCCAACUACAAUAGCAGUGUCAUCUUUCUCAUUCUUCUUCCCUCCAAGUUCCCUCAAUUGAUUGCAGUAUUGUCCCAAAUGUUUCACGAAUUUCUCAUGCCCAUCUUGCUCCUCAAAUUUUGACAUCUCAAAGAUUGGAGGAAGGUCAGCACUUGAAGGCAUGCCCCAAUCUUUGUAUAAAACAUCUUUUUUACCCGUAGGUCCUAGAGAAUUUUUCAUAGCAUUUUCUGCACUCUUCAUUUUUUCAACCAUUUUCUCCGACUCUUCUGGCACACUGGAUUUCUUGUUAAGAAAUUUUGGUGGUUCAGUUAACUUAAAAACAGGCUCAGGAGUAUAACAAUGAUCAACCAAAGUAUUGAAUAUAAGUUCACUAGCAGCAUGGGGAUGCACAACCAUUGGACGAGACAGUGUGGAAGUCCCAGUAGAGGAUUGAGCAACAAGAUCGUAGACGACAUGUGGUGUUGUGAAUGUAGUAGGCUUAUGCUGAGGAGCUAGAGGAAAAGUGGUGGAAGUAUUGAGAUGAUUUUGGCUAGGAAUGAAUUCUGAGUCAUGUUGCGGUGCAUCAACAACAGUAAAAAAUUGACUUUGAGAUUUUGGUGAAAAACUCAAGGUAUUUGUAGGAUCAAUAAAGGGAAAUGGAGGAGGAAGCAACCCACUGGCCCAAGCUCGAUACAUUUCUAUCAUUUGUUGUCUUAGCCUCCUAAUCUCUUGCUUCAAACUCUCAUUUUCCUGAUUCUUUGUUUGAUCCAUGAUGUCACUCUCUAUAUAUUGGUUGGACACAACUAACCCUUUGGAUUUGGUGUGAUGUGAAGGAUCAGCCAGAAUGCCACAAACCAACCACCUUAAACUGACUCAAUAAAAAAACACAUGUGUUGGAGUUCAACACUUUUUCAAAACCUUUUUUUCCUUCUUUUUUUUUUUAAAAGAUCACCAAACCCAACAAGGGCGCCUACGUAUCUCACUCUUGAGAGAGGAGAAUCAGGUGUGCGUAGUUCGUGAAGUCUUGCCAAAAUAGCCAAUUAAACUCUUUUUCCUUUUCUUCUUUUACUCUUUUUUUUAAACUUUAAGAUGAGAAAAUAGCAAAUUAUCAAAAGAAUUGACGAAAAUCUUUUUGAAUUUUUCAACUUUAACAUCUCUAUAUAAUAUGAAACCUACGUUUACCAAAGAAAAAUCUUUUUGAAUUUUCGAUUUUGAAUUUCAUAUGAAAGUGAAACUUGAAACUAUAAAAGAAAAAUCUUUUUGUAGUUUUUCUCUUAAAGAUGUAUAUGAAACACCUACUCUAAAUGAAGAGUGAAUAAAUUUUUUUUGUUUGAAAUAAAAUCCCCAAACCAACAAUAGGUUGCCUACGUAUCUCACUCUCGAGAGAGGAGAAUCAGGGGUGCGUAGUUCGUCCAAAUUGGACAAAUAAAGAUUAACUAACAGACUGACCCUAACUUAAGAGACACAACCAAAGACCGAUGAAUAAUAAAAGAAAUAAAAAAAAUUGGGUUUUUAAUUUGACAUCAACAACUAUGAAAGAAAAAUAUUUUUUAAAAAAAAUUUUGAAUUAUGAAUGCGUGGUAAAGGAAUAAAAGUAUUUUUUUUUGAUAUUUUCGUUAUAUGAAAUGUACAAAACUUCUACCAUUUUUUUUUUUUUUGCAUUUCCCUUUAUAAAACCUCCUAUUGUAAAAAAAAUCUUUUUUUGAAAUUUUUGAAUUGAGAAAAACAAAAGACAUACAGAACUCUAAAAAUUACAAAACUCUUUUUUGGACUUUUUUUUUUCACACACUUUACUUCUAACACAUGCUUUACCCCACAUCAGUCGGGCAAAUGACCACAUUAUUCUCAAAGAUGCAGCAUUUAGCACGUAGGGAUGUUUUAGGGGUGAGUUUCCUACAAAGAACCGUGUGGGCCCCGCUAGAUCUCAAUAUAAUGCACAUAAGAAUGUCCUAUAGGCUGACCUACGUUGUGGUUUACUAACAAGGCUGUUCGGGGGAGCGUAUGGUCAAUAGUGGCUGCUUUGCUUUCUCCCUACUCCAUACAUCCAACGGCUCCCCCCCUAAAAUAAAGGUGACUCAACUAGAGUUCGUGUGCACGACGUGCGCUCCGAGACUUGUUGCGAAAAGAAUGACUAGGGUUAUGCACAUGAUUUCAGAUAUAAAAGCGGUAAACACAUAGGAUAAAUAUUGUAAACAAAGAGCACAAAAACGCACAAAAGUGAAAACACAAAUAAAAAUCACAAACAAUGUUUAUACACUCGUAAUGUCAAACAAAGCGGAUAAGACUACAAAAAAAAAGCUUGAAUUCUGAAAUAGUCCCCAGCAGAGUCACCAGAGCUGUCACACCCCUUUUUUUACCCAAAGAUUAGAUUUUAUGGUUUCAAAAGGGUUUCAUUAUUAAGUGACAAAAUGUGAAAAUUUUUUCCGAAAAAAAAGAUUAUUCUUACUUUCAAAACUCAGAGUCGCCACUUGGCAUAAAUCGGGUGUGACAAGUCACCUUUGGAAAUCCUUUUUCAAAACGGUUUUGACUCUAAAACUGAUCCGCGAACAGAGAUUCCAGCUAAGGAAUUCUGUUGACCGAGGGGAAGGUGUUAGGCAUCCCUCGAUUCCAUGGUUUGACUACGGUCGCUUGGUGGAGCGUAUUGGCUAAUUUGACAUUAUGAAUAUAAACCACACAAAAUCACACAAAACAAUCAAUCAAUCAAACAAACAAACAAACAAAACAAAUCCAAAAUUAUAAUUUCCAGUCCGAUUAUUACAAUUCCGAAAUAGAAAAAUGUGAAAAUAUAAACCUACUCUAUUCUAUAUUAAUUCUAAACUACAUUCCAUUGCUUUCUCCACCCGACGUUUUGGCCCUUGAUUGUGCGUCAUCUUCAAGUACAUGGUACUUCGGGGCAUUCCCCGGAUAAAUCACUAUAAAUCUCUCGGGGGCAUUCUCCGGCCAAAUAAAUACAAUAGAUGUCAAUGCAUAAAUCAAAACCAUUCCACAAACAUUUCAUUAUUAAACAAUCACAAAUCCUAAACUUUUCCUACCUAACUUAUUGCUUGCCUAACGAUCCACAGCCUAAAACAUGAUACUAUCAAACUUAACAAAGUCGACGUUCAUUCCAAAUCAGGCAAUCAUCGCUGAACCAACACAAAUCAACGUUCACUUUUAACAAUUUUCGAUCUUUUUCCCCAAAUCAACUACGUGAUUAACAUAUUUCACAUCAGGAUUAACAAUCAGAUAACGACGAGUAAAAUCACUUCAACCAAAUUCAAUCAAAAAUCACACCAUUCAAAAAUAUUCAUGAAAAAGAGAGAUAAGAGAUAUAGAAUUGGACCUCGACCUCCAUUCGAACCCCAACAGCAGACCCACUCCAAACUCGGUAUUACCAAAAUUAAAACCCUGAACUGACCACGAUGACCCAAAAAGCUCGCUAAAAUCCAAUGGAAAAUCAAACACCCGCAGGGUUCGAACUCCGAUGAGUCGCCGGUGAUGCGGACGAACAGAACAACCAGUUGUCGGAUGGAUUUAGUUCGGAAUCGAAGAACAACGGAGGAAAGUUUGACCGUUUUAUACGAACGACGAACGGAAGGGAUGAUUCCGGCAAAGCUACUGCCAAAACAGUAACCCGAAAUCAACCCCUCUUCCUUCUUCAUUACGGAUCUCGACCUCUCUCACUCUAUCUCCCUCCCAUUCUCGAAUUUCUCUCUCUCUAUUUCUGUGUGUGAGUGUGUGUGGAAUUGUUCGGUGCUUGAUUAUUUCGGUGAGGGUCCUCUCUAAAUUGGUUACUGUGUGUGUAUCUUCGAAUUUCCAGUGAGUUUCUGAGUUCCCCCGAUUUCUGUGAGUUUGUAUGUAUAUAUGUUGUGGGUAUAUGAGGAUGCACAAAUGGAUAAAUCCGACGGUGUCUUUUAAAGGAAAAAAACGUGAUAGAGGAGGUGUUGAUGGCGUUCUCGGUGAGGAAGAAAAAGGGGGGGGGGGGAAUGGAGUCUGUGUAUGUCGUGAGUGUCCCCCGUCCUAUGCGUGCACUGUGUGUGUAUAUAUAAUCGCAUCCUUUCUUGUCAAGAAGAAAUGUGAUAUGUAUAUAUGGUCCUCUUUUAAAAAUGGAGAAAAUGGUCCUUUUUUGUCCAUUUCAUGGAAGUUUCCUAGUGGGGCCCUUUUUUAAUGUUUAUCCCUUUUUGCCUUUGUGGACAAGAAAUAUGAGGGAGAGAAGGUCGCGUGGGUAUAGGGUGUUGGUGGUAGGGGUAUGGGGAAUGUGUCUUAUUUUAAUUGAAAGGGUUGUUAGGAUGUUAAAAAGAAUAAAAGUUUGUUAGGGAUUUUGUUGAGAGUUAUUUUUUUGUAUUUUUAUGGGAUGUAAUUACAUGGGUAGGAUAACCUAAAAAAUGGGUAAAACGAUAUCGGGGAGGGACGAAAUUACCUGUCUACAAUUACCUUUUUUUCUUUUAAAUAGACAAAGUUAUUUAAUUUUUAAAGUAAAAGAGUAAAAAUGUCCAAAAGUUAACUAGUUCAUACUGUGAACAUAACUUUUUUCUAUUGUGGCCAAAAAAUUAUGGUCAAAAGAACUUUUCCGGUGGAUAAUGCUAAAUGGCCACAAAAAUUUGGCCACAAUAAUAAAAAGACUAUAUUACCUUUUUUCUUUCAAAUAGACAAAGUUAUUUAAUUUUUAAAGUAAAAGGGUAAAAAUGUCCAAAAGUUAACUAGUUCAUAAUGUGAACAUAACUUUUUUCUAUUGUGGCCAAAGGAUAGUGUGCUAAAUGGCCACAAAAAUUUGGCCCAAAUUUGGCCACAAUAAUAAAAAGACUAUAUUACCUUUUUUCUUUCAAAGACAAAGUUAUUUAAUUUUUAAAGUAAAAGGGUAAAAAUAUCCAAAAGUUAACUAGUUCAUAAUGUGAACAUAACUUUUUUCUAUUGUGGCCAAAAAAUUGAGGCUAAAGAAUAGUGUGCUAAAUGGCCACAAAAAUUUGGCCCAAAUUUGGCCACAAUAAUAAAAAGACUAUAUUACCUUUUUUCUUUCAAAGACAAAGUUAUUUAAUUUUUAAAGUAAAAGGGUAAAAAUAUCCAAAAGUUAACUAGUUCAUAAUGUGAACAUAACUUUUUUCUAUUGUGGCCAAAAAAUUGAGGCUAAAGAAUAGUGUGCUAAAUGGCCACAAAAAUUUGGCCCAAAUUUGGCCACAAUAAUAAAAGGAAUAUAUUACCCUUUGUUUUCAAAUAGACAAAGUUAUUUAAUUUUCAAAGUAAAAAGGUAAAAAUAUCCAAAAGGUUAAUAUAGAAUGAAGAGUAAGAAUAAUUACUCUUAACAUUAAUUAUUCUAGAAUGAAGAGGCAUGUUCCUUUUGAGUUACUCCCCCGUUUCAUUUUAGUUGGGCUUCUUUCUAAAAAUAUUUGUUUCAAUUUAGUUAUUCCAUUAAUGAAAUUAAGAGGAUUUUAAUAUGUUUUUUCAAUAAUAUCCUUAUCAUUAAAUGACUAAACAAAUUAUAUAUAUCCAAAUUUAUAUUUUCAAAGCAUAAAUAAUAAGGCUAAUUUCGUAAAAUAGAUUCCUAAUAAAUGUUUUUCUUAAUGGGUGUAACAAGUCUGUAGGGGCCAACUAAUAUGAAAUGGAGGGAGUAUGAUUUUAUUCCUAAAUAAGUAUAUGUUUAUAUCUUGAAGAAUACUUUGACAAUAAUCUUCCAAAUAUGUUUUUGAGUUCAAAUAUAAUAAUCAAUGUUAACAAGAAAAGAGAUGAAAUUUAAUUAGGGGUAAGUUGGUAAUGUUACAGUCAAUUUUCUAUGAGUAAAUAACUUAUUAAAGUACAUGCUCAAGUAGCACUUAUUUAGGAAUAGAGAGAGUAAAGAUUAAAGAAUUAAUAAGGGAUAUAUAAGUCAAAUCAUACUCCUAAUUAUUUUUCUUUAAGAAUUGUGCAAAAUCUAAACCUUUCAACUAUUUUGAGAUGAAUACAGUAUAUGCAAGGUGUAUACUCCCUCUAUUCUCUUCUAAUUGUCACUAUUUUUAUAAUUAGAUUUCUAUUUUUACUUGUCACUUUUGACAUCUCAAGAAAAGACAAAAUAUUUUUUUCUAUUUUACUCUUAACAUUAGUUAUUUAUUCUUCAAAUCAUUUUCAAGGCAUAAUACUCUAAACAUCAAUUAAUAGAGUUAGUAUGGUAAAGUAGUCAUAUCAAUAGUUGUUUUUUUAAUGGAAUUUUCAUGUCAAAUAAUGACAGGUAAAAAUGAACGAAAGAAGUAUAAGCUUAAUCAGAAGUGGAUUCAGGAUUUUGAGAUUUCGGAUGUCAUACUUUUUAUGACUUGAUCUAUUUUGAGCUUUGAUUUAGAUAAUUGCCUUUUUGGUUUAUAUAGACAAUUAAAUAACUAUAGUAAUUUUAAACAAAGGCAUAAAAGAUCGUGAGGGUUUGGCUUUGAUGCUAUGUGAUGAACAUGUGAUUUUGACGAUUGACAAAACUCGUGAGUGAAUCUGGUCCUCACCAGAUAUGCUGCCUCUACAAUUUAUUUUAUUUUUCAGAGUCAACUGUGUGAGAACCUGGUCCUUAGAGGAAUCCUGUUUUGUAGGGAUUGGGUUCAUAUUAUGUACUCAUAACCUUGUUAACCGAUAAACUUCUGAAAGAGAUUUCUACUGAUUCAACAUUUGUAUUUUAGGUGAUAUGGGGACAUAGAAGUACUGAUCUGAUAUAUGAAACUCGUGCUCUUAAGUCUUAAUGAUUGACAAACUGCAUGUAAGGACUUGAUCCCUAAAGGACGUAAGUAUGUGGUCAACUGUACAGCUGAAAAGUCUUGUCCUACAACUGUAUUGACAGCAUUUGCAGGUGGUUAGUGGCAUAACAAAAGCUUUUUAAUCUCGACCAAUGAGAAAUAUUCUAGGUUUUUCCUCCCAUUUGCUUCAUAUAUAUAGAUCAUUAUGUGAGAGGAAAACCUAACAUUAAAGUUCCAUCAAGACAAAGAUCCAACAACCAAAGGACCAGUUUGCUACAACAGAAUAUGUCUUUAGGUCUAAGUUGUUGAGUUUUUGUAUUUUGCUCUAACAUUGUAAACCUACUCCUAUUCUGAGGAGCUUGUGUAGGUAUUUUAUUUUAUCUCUUCUCUUGUAUAUCUAAGUUGUGGGCUAAAGUUAACCUUGUAGUGUUGGGGGCUAAAGAAGUCGUGGUAGUACCGGUGUGGGCUAGAGGUAGCCUUAGUUGUCUUUACAAUAGAGUUAUUGUAGAGAGUGCUUACAAUAGAGUUGUUGUCAGGGUGAGGGAUUAAGAAUUUAAUUCCUAGGUUGCAAGAUGUUGUAAUCCAAAAGUUGCUCUUGUUUUAGUGAAGUGGUUGAAAAAUUUUACUAGGGUAGGUCAUGAUUUUACUCCCUUAAGUAAGGAGGUUUCCACGUAAUACAUCUUGUCUUCUUUACUUUUGUUCUUCAACUUUUGUUCUUAGUUAAUGAACCUAGUGAGGGACCAGGUUUUCAUUACUAUGGUGAACUCAUAUAGAACCUUUUUUGUUAGCUAAAAAAAAUGAUAAGGGACCUGGUUUCUAAUAUUGUGGUAGUGGACGCACGCAAGUCAUCACUAUGUAAAGAAAUGAAUUUGAGGUUAACUCAACCUCAAAAGCUAGCAUAAGAGGUGACUAUUGUCCAUGACCAUUUAAAGAGCAAAUUUGCCUUCUACCCACCUAUAUGAAACUCAACAUCUUUAGCAAAUUUAAAGGAUCAAAAUUACUCAGGAGUAUAAUAUUUAAGGGAUUAAUUUGAAGUUUAAACCUACCUAAAUAUAAGAUUACUUUUAUUACUUUCUGUUAUUGCUUCUACAAAUGACCCAAAAGUAUAACAGAGGGUAUUUACGUAUUAUUUUUAAUAGUUUAGGAUAUAUAUAAUCUUUUUCGAAUAAAAGAAAAUGAUGAUGCAAAGAUCUUUUGUGUACUGAGAUAUUUUAAUUUACGGAAGAUGGUCAAAUAUUUUAAUCAAACAUCCAGUGUAUUAUUAACUUCAUCGCGUAUCUGAAUUUUGCUAAUCAUGAUUGAUAUAAAAACAUGUCUAACUUUCUCGCAUUCAAGAAAAAUAUAAGUAAUAAAAUAAAAUGCAAAAUAGCACAUUAAAAUAUCAAACACUAUCAUAUAGUGUUGCUUCAUUCCAAAUGGUGUAGGUUACAAGAUUUCAUCGCCAAAUCUUUUCCAUGAUUACAACCCAAAUUACAAUGCUUACAAGUAUUAAAGAACUUGUUGAUAACAAGUUGUUGAAAUAUUUGUGUCAGUUACCACCAAUUUAUUUGCUAUGGGUAGCAAUUUUCUCAAGGCAAUCACUACCAACCCCAUGUAUCCAAUUAUCAAAUUCCUUAAACUCAGAGUCAUCUCCAUAUACAGAAAUAGCACAAUCAUUGCAAGUAUCAAUAUCAGUCAUCAUUGCACUAAUAUCAACAUUGGCUUUAUAAUAGUUUUUAACUUUGCAAUCUUCUUCAGCCUUCUUCAUGGCAUCCACUGCAUCUUGAUACACCUCCUUGCAUGUCUCGAGACAAUCCGUGGCGUAAAUGUCUGUCUCUGGAUCCUCUAAACGUUGUUCAAUGACAGUCGAAAUGAAUUCUUCCGUCUUGGCCAUCGUAGCUUCCAUCACGGAGUUGAUAAAUAUGGAAACAUCCCCGUUUGAGGUGACAGGAGUACUCUUUUUUGAAAUUUCAAUGGUUUUUUUAUAGGCUGAGGAUGAGGAAAAGGAAGAGGACGAUUUAGAUGGAGAAAGGGGAGGUGCUUGGGAUUUAGGGAUUUUGUAUCCCUUAGGUGGGAGGGGUUUCUUAUAGGAUGAGGGCGAGGGCGAGUAUGGUUUGGAUGGAGGAGGUUCUUGGGAUUUAGGGACGUUGUAUCCCUUAGGUGGGAGGGUUUCUGUAUAGGGCGAGGACGAUGACGAUGACGAUUUAGAUGGAGAUAGGGGAGGUGCUUGGAAUCUUGGAAAAAAGAAUGUUGCCUUAGAUGGGAGGGUUGUAAAGAAUAGUGAAAUGGCAAAGACUAAAAAAAUUUGGUUAUAAAAUGCCAUUAUCUUUCUUUCUACUUUAAUAAUAGAAAGUAAGUUUGAAAGAAAGACAAUGGAAAAAAA
RNAcentral lists this long non-coding RNA (17027 nucleotides) under Capsicum annuum. Its description in RNAcentral is "long non-coding RNA (CANN_LNC021445)". The record is from RNAcentral. Lineage: Eukaryota; Viridiplantae; Streptophyta; Magnoliopsida; Solanales; Solanaceae.